CAAAACAAUGGUCUGGUGUAUAACUUGACUGGGCAAUUCAAAGGUUGUUUUUCAAACCUAUCAACAAACAUCUCGGAAUGGUACUGUGUUUGUGGUUCCAAAUGUCUGACUAAUCAAAUUGUAAUCUUAAGGUCACUAAACAAGUUGUUUGCAGACUAUCCCCAUAGAUGAGAGGAGGGUCUACAACUCACAAUGUUCGACCAGCGGACCCAACGUCAUAUAACGACUAAAUACACGCCGUAUUAUCGGACGUUUGGCAGGGAGGCCAGGUAUCCAUCAAAAUACCAACGGAGUAUUAGAUCACGGAACAGAAAAUUGAGAGGCUCAUUUCCCGGCUCCGGAUAAAGCGGAAGAAAAUAGAUAUAGGAUAAGAGUGGAGAUCUCAUGUCUGAAAAAGGGGGGGAAAAAAAGAUAAAAAUAACAAUCUAAAACGCUAUAUCCUGCCCCAGCAAAGGAUUCCCUCCAAGCUAAAUGCGCAUCAGCCUCCCGCCCUGGCCUCGUCGUCCCCCUCUGCGCAUCAGCCUCUCGCCCUGGCCUCGUCGUCCCCCUCUGCGCAUCAGCCUCCCGCCCUGGCCUCGUCGUCCCCCUCUGCGCAUCAGCCUCCCGCCCUGGCCUCCUCCCUGUAAGAUGAGUAUUCUACUUCAUUCCAAGUUGAUCAUGGUUUUACACACUCAGAUUGGGCCCUAUAAACUUUCUUCUGAGAACAUCAUGGACCUGGCCCCUGGCAGAGAGUUUCAGAGUGAGGCACUUGUUACAUGGUUGGAAAAUACUUGUAUCUUUGCAGGUGAUCAACACCUACCUUUUAUCACUGGGCAGGGAGACGGGGUCAUUAAUCCUUGACUCCUACCUUAUGUCCUCAGUAUGGCGGGGGACAUUGAACAUUGAAAGGUUGGGGGGGGAGGCAAGUAUCAGUGCAUAGACCAAACAAGCUGGAUACAAAGUUUGUUAAAGUCUGUCUUUCACAGGUGCCUUUGAUGACCCACAAUGUGUUGGCUGAGGCUGUUUGUGAUGAGCACCACUGGACACUUGUAGUGAGUACCAGACUGAUGCACAGAUAAAAAGGUGCCAGGAGAUGACCAGAUGGGUAAUUCAGAGGCAUGACAAAUUUAGUACAAUCACAAUACAAGCUUCUCUGACUGUUUGAAUUUCAUACUGAAGAGCAUUUGUACACAAACAAUGCCUGGCCAUUGGGAAGUGGGGAUCCUUCAUGGUUCCUCAACCACGGCAGCAGGAGUUCUAAUGUGAACGGUAAGUACAGACAUUGUACAAUGUGUCCCAGGAAGGCCACAAACUAAUGGCUACAAAUCCUCAGAUGGCAGAGUGUAUAUUGAGGUGUCAAGAACCAGCAUGCCAUGCUAAGGAUAUGGCAGAAUUGAUACUGGACAUGGCAUACUGUAGACUCUGCUGAAAAACACAGGUGACCUACUGCAGCCACAGUGCACUUCUAAUGUAUAGACGGAUAUGUAUAUCCUUGCCCUAAUGCUUUUCCGUGCAGAUGACUAUUUGGAAUUGUGUCAUAUGGGAAGUUUAGCUCUGCAGUUGCCACAGAAGACUGGAUUGAAUCCAGUUGCUGCUCUGUGUGGAAUCGCUGCGCCCCUGUGGCAUACCCAUCCACAGCGGGAGACUACCACUGCUAGGCCUGUUAACACUACUACAUCAGCAAAUCUGUAAAGUGUUAGGGUUGGG
Cyprinodon tularosa is the source of this 1686-nucleotide long non-coding RNA. RefSeq lists it as uncharacterized. The transcript has 3 exons. The record is from RefSeq and is a predicted model, not a curated record. Lineage: Eukaryota; Metazoa; Chordata; Actinopteri; Cyprinodontiformes; Cyprinodontidae.